This 548-nucleotide ribosomal RNA is filed under the name uncultured bacterium. Its description in RNAcentral is "partial 16S ribosomal RNA". It matches the Rfam family "Bacterial small subunit ribosomal RNA", at positions 355 to 896 of the family's 1533-position model. The record is from RNAcentral.
UGGGGAAUUUUGGACAAUGGGCGCAAGCCUGAUCCAGCCAUGCCGCGUGCGGGAAGAAGGCCUUCGGGUUGUAAACCGCUUUUGUCAGGGAAGAAAUCUUCUGAGUCAAUACCUCGGGAGGAUGACGGUACCUGAAGAAUAAGCACCGGCUAACUACGUGCCAGCAGCCGCGGUAAUACGUAGGGUGCAAGCGUUAAUCGGAAUUACUGGGCGUAAAGCGUGCGCAGGCGGUUUUGUAAGACAGAGGUGAAAUCCCCGGGCUCAACCUGGGAACUGCCUUUGUGACUGCAAGGCUUGAGUGCGGCAGAGGGGGAUGGAAUUCCGCGUGUAGCAGUGAAAUGCGUAGAUAUGCGGAGGAACACCGAUGGCGAAGGCAAUCCCCUGGGCCUGCACUGACGCUCAUGCACGAAAGCGUGGGGAGCAAACAGGAUUAGAUACCCUGGUAGUCCACGCCCUAAACGAUGUCAACUGGUUGUUGGGAAGGUUCCUUCUCAGUAACGUAGCUAACGCGUGAAGUUGACCGCCUGGGGAGUACGGCCGCAAGGUUG